This 1373-nucleotide ribosomal RNA is filed under the name uncultured bacterium. RNAcentral's name for it is "bacterial SSU rRNA". It matches the Rfam family "Bacterial small subunit ribosomal RNA", at positions 28 to 1381 of the family's 1533-position model. The record is from RNAcentral.
GAUGAACGCUGGCGGCGUGCCUAAUACAUGCAAGUCGAGCGAACAGAUGAGAAGCUUGCUUCUCUGAUGUUAGCGGCGGACGGGUGAGUAACACGUGGGUAACCUACCUAUAAGACUGGGAUAACUCCGGGAAACCGGGGCUAAUACCGGAUAAUAUUUUGAACCGCAUGGUUCAAUAGUGAAAGACGGUUUCGGCUGUCACUUAUAGAUGGACCCGCGCCGUAUUAGCUAGUUGGUAAGGUAACGGCUUACCAAGGCGACGAUACGUAGCCGACCUGAGAGGGUGAUCGGCCACACUGGAACUGAGACACGGUCCAGACUCCUACGGGAGGCAGCAGUAGGGAAUCUUCCGCAAUGGGCGAAAGCCUGACGGAGCAACGCCGCGUGAGUGAUGAAGGUCUUCGGAUUGUAAAACUCUGUUGUUAGGGAAGAACAAAUUUGUUAGUAACUGAACAAGUCUUGACGGUACCUAACCAGAAAGCCACGGCUAACUACGUGCCAGCAGCCGCGGUAAUACGUAGGUGGCAAGCGUUAUCCGGAAUUAUUGGGCGUAAAGCGCGCGUAGGCGGUUUCUUAAGUCUGAUGUGAAAGCCCACGGCUCAACCGUGGAGGGUCAUUGGAAACUGGGAAACUUGAGUGCAGAAGAGGAGAGUGGAAUUCCAUGUGUAGCGGUGAAAUGCGCAGAGAUAUGGAGGAACACCAGUGGCGAAGGCGGCUCUCUGGUCUGUAACUGACGCUGAUGUGCGAAAGCGUGGGGAUCAAACAGGAUUAGAUACCCUGGUAGUCCACGCCGUAAACGAUGAGUGCUAAGUGUUAGGGGGUUUCCGCCCCUUAGUGCUGCAGCUAACGCAUUAAGCACUCCGCCUGGGGAGUACGACCGCAAGGUUGAAACUCAAAGGAAUUGACGGGGACCCGCACAAGCGGUGGAGCAUGUGGUUUAAUUCGAAGCAACGCGAAGAACCUUACCAAAUCUUGACAUCCUUCGAUCGCUCUAGAGAUAGAGUCUUCCCCUUCGGGGGACAAAGUGACAGGUGGUGCAUGGUUGUCGUCAGCUCGUGUCGUGAGAUGUUGGGUUAAGUCCCGCAACGAGCGCAACCCUUAAGCUUAGUUGCCAUCAUUAAGUUGGGCACUCUAGGUUGACUGCCGGUGACAAACCGGAGGAAGGUGGGGAUGACGUCAAAUCAUCAUGCCCCUUAUGAUUUGGGCUACACACGUGCUACAAUGGAUAAUACAAAGGGCAGCGAAUCCGCGAGGCCAAGCAAAUCCCAUAAAAUUAUUCUCAGUUCGGAUUGUAGUCUGCAACUCGACUACAUGAAGCUGGAAUCGCUAGUAAUCGUAGAUCAGCAUGCUACGGUGAAUACGUUCCCGGGUCU